CCCCUUUUAACGUCUUAUCUGCUUUCUGAAGCGUGCUGCUUUGCCAUUCCAAUUUUGGCAUGGUUUUUUGAGAGCUGUCCGUCAACGCACGUUUAUUUUUCGCUGUCUUUUGGCAAACCACAAGUAGAAAGAGGUGGAUUUUAUUUCUGCUCUGCGUCACAGAUGAUCAGAUUUGGAGAAAACCAAAUACAACCUUUGGCUCUCUGAAACUAACUCCACUUUUUUGCCAAAAAUCCCAUUUUCCAAGUUUCUUUUGUCCAUUUUCCUCAUGCCUCUACUCUCCCCCUGCUCUAUCACUGUCUCUACAAAGCUGAUGCUAUCUCUUAAUGACUGUCUUUUCCUUACCUCUUCCUGCCUUGAAACAUUUAACUCACGACUGCAAUUCAGCCGCCUUCAGUUACAUUUUUCAAAGGCAUCACUGUCUUUUUUGGAUGCGUGUCAAGCCCAGCUCUAUCUCCUCUGACACAGCCAGUCCCCAUCCCCAGCCUGAGUCAUCUGCCUGCCUCGUGCUCCCACAUCCUCGCUGUCCCAAGUGCUGGGAAGUGCCAUGCCUGCAGCCCUGCAGCCCCAGUGACGCAGCAUCUCCUCCCCACUCCCUCGCCUACCUCCAACCCGUGUCUCCUUCUCACCAACUCCUGACCCCGGGGUGCCAGGCUCCAGCCCCUGGCUGAAAGCUGCUUUCUACCAUCUUAUACAGAAAUAAUAACAAAUUUUGUUUUAAAAAAGCACACGCACGUUUUAGCAACCUCUUAAUUCUGCUUAAAUCCACAUUUGAGGACCCAGCUGCAAAACUCUACGUGGACUUGCUCCAAUCAGCCCAAGGCUGAGAUCUGCACCUCGGCCCUGGACUCUACAGCACAAACAGAGCUUGUGCUUGUAAACACCGUUAUCGACAUCAACCCACAGGCUCUGGCUAGUGGCAAAUUCCUCAGUUAAGGAAGCACAGCUGAUAACCAGAGAGCUGGGAGCAUGCCAGGUCCAGAGCACACACCUGAGGUCCCAUCCGCGCUCCAGCCUGCCACCCACCAUCGCCGGGAAGCAGACUGGCUGGGAAAUCACACGCAACUUGAAUUUUAGUAACAUCACAUCCCUGAACGACACAAGCUCAAGCUGACACAAUCGGUCUCCAGUCCCCACCAGGGUUUUUGUUCAGCCCAGCAAGAGACGCUGGGGGCACACACUGCUGGCUCUCAGAGCCUGCCUACCAGCACUGGCAAAACCCGGCUGGGCUCAGGCUGCCCCUCUAGGGUGCUGCUGCUGUGGCCAAGGGGGAAGAUGCCUUGCCUUCCUAGAUCCCCCUUUCCCUACCAAACACUACAGAUGUGCCCAUCUUACUCCUGCACCACCAUUUCCAACUGGACCAGCAAUUAGACUCUUAAAACGUGCUUUCCCACCUCCAGCUGAAGGGACCAGCCCUCCCUCUCCAUGCCUGACUCCUCCCAUCCAAUUUAUUCUUUCUCCCAGUGCAUAAAGUGUGCACACUUUUACUAGACUAAAUAUGCUGUAUUCUCCCAUGGAGUAAUGCUGCACAAAACAUAAUGAUACUGCACACGUAGCACCAAGCAGAGCAAUGCAGCAGCAGUCUAAAUGUUCUAGUCCCACAGGCUGUCCGUGAGCAUCCUUGCUGCUAGCUCAGAACAGGAGAAAUGGAGACUCAAGGCCAUGGGCACGGUCCAGCUGAGCCUCUCGAGCUCAUGCUGCCUACUAGGAGAGAUGAAGACUUGCUUAAACAGAGGCAAGAAAUAUUUCAGAGUAAAGUCAAAGUGAGGAUUUGCUCAUUGCAGGCUUAACAGAGGCCAAGCUCUAGCACUCCAGAAAAGCUGGAGAAUCUCAGCUCACCCCGUUAAGUUUUCUUAUGUCUGCCAAACUUCUCUUUCCCUGUGAUACUGGCAGUGUUUGAACUUUCAGCAAAUAUGUGAGGUGAAGCACCAAUCAAAAUGCAAAUGAGCAGAUAUUUUUCUCAAUAAUAAAACCAACUGUAUUUUGGGAACACCUCUGGUGCAUGACUUACGGCCUCUCACAGAAAAGAUGCACCACGCCAUUUAUUGCCAACUCCAGCCUGAAACCACCCUUUUUACAGCAAAAAGACCGUGCCUGUUUUGGGCACGUUUAUUUCUUGACUGCCCCAGAACACUCUGAAAGGCACCUGGCCCUGCAUGUCUCACAUCCCCUUGCUGAAACUUCAAGCCAAUUCAUUAACUGCAGAGAAAAUGCAUGUGCAAGUACUGUUUUUACUAAAAAACUCAUGUGUGCCCUUAUUCCUGGAGACAGCUCUAGCUCUCUGAGCCGCUCUGUGCCCCCAUGCAAAACUCCGCUUUCGCUUCCUCAUCUUUCAGCCCACGCCUUCGCAUCGAUCGCUGGGUUUCACCCUCCCCGACUACAGCUCGGAGACCGACACAACGUGCUGGUGGCCUUACGGGCAGUUCCCAGAAGGCAAUCAUUUCUAACACAGAAAUAACCCUACCCAAACUGCUGGUCUCAGAGGACAGACCAGUGAUUGAACAAUGCCCCAAAGAACUGAACCACCCCCACCUACGCAACAUCUCCCCCGAUCAGGGUGAGUCACGGGGCAGCACACGGGCAGGUGUGAUGGGUGAUUCUCAUUCUGCGCUCUGAGCCUGCCACGCUGCCUAAGCGAUGCUGUUUGCUAAUACUGCAGAGAAGCGUUAGGGAAGAAGGCAAUUAAAAGCUCCUAGACACUGUGCUGGAAGUCCCAAGCAGCAAGGAACAAGAGCAGGUCACUGGCGACAGGAUUAACCCUGUAAAGCUACUCAACCUUCCUGAAGACCUACAGAUGAACAGCUGUAUGCAGAAAGCCUGCUGGAUGCAAGUCAAGGUGGUAGCUAAUUCCUAAAUCUUCAGAAAAAAAAAAAACAGGAAAAGCAACAAUUAGAAGGUUUGUCUGCCAGGCUUUGACCACUUGUCACCUCCAGCUGAAGCAUGAAAGACUUCCCAAUAUUCAACAAAAGAAAAGUGAUAGUUCACAAAGCGGAACGCACACAAACGCAUUUAUCAGCAUGAUCCAUUCCAGGAUGUACAACAAUGACUGUUUUGUUGUUAUAAGGUGUUUCUGAGAGGUUUCCUUUAUUCCUGGUUGGAUCUGUGUUGUGUUGUGGUUUUGGUUUUCUGGUUCUGGUUUUUUGGUUGUUUUUGUUUUGGUGUUUUGGGGUUGUUUUGGUUUUUGGUUUGGGUUUUUUUUGUUUGGGUUUUUUUUUU
Molecule: long non-coding RNA, 3216 nt
Organism: Falco peregrinus (peregrine falcon)
Lineage: Eukaryota; Metazoa; Chordata; Aves; Falconiformes; Falconidae
Exons: 2
Source: RefSeq, a predicted model, not a curated record